Non-coding RNA from Nicotiana tabacum (common tobacco), 1095 nucleotides. The record is from RefSeq and is a predicted model, not a curated record. NCBI's taxonomy places the organism in Eukaryota, Viridiplantae, Streptophyta, Magnoliopsida, Solanales, Solanaceae.
UUCCCCAACCACAUAAAACCUUGCCAUUUGCUAAUCCUAACCCUAAAGACUCAACUCCAAACGGCGCUCCCUUUCUCCUCCACCUUUGCCCGCCCAAAACCCACCAAAAAUUCUAGAAUCCGGCCAGUUCCACGUGUGUAUGGUUCCCCCUCCCCUCAUCUCUCACAUCCAUGUCAUCAAAAUCUCAACAAAAUCUGACAACAGAGAAUAUUCUCGUUCCCUCACGCGAUUUGCUUUCAUCUUUUGGAAGAAUUUUGGAAAGAAUGGGAGCCGUAGGAUUUGAAUUACUAACAUCCUAUCCUUCCAUUUUAUCCAAAAUUAGUCGAAAAAGAGCAAAAAUAGGAAUUUUUCGGAUUGGUUGGCUUGGAGAGCAAGCAUGGAUGUUUCUGGAGCUUCUAUAUAUUUGGGGCUCGUUUCCAAACCAAGGGGGAUUUGGGGACAGAAUUUUGAGAGAAGAUCUGGAUAGAAAAAAAGAGAGGAAAAAAGGAGAGAUAGGUUUUGAGGGAUUUCUUGACUCUUCAAUUUCUGAUUCUAAGUUUUUCUUACUUCUUUCCAGAAUAUAUAUAUAUAUAUAUUUUAGAUUCUUUUCAUUUCGGAUUUUCUGCUUCAAAAAUAGAGUUCGUUUGAAAUUUGAAGAUUGAUUUAGUUUGCCGCCGAGAUCGAGUUUUCCUGCGCCGUUCGAGUCUUGCUACUGGUUCGCGGUUCCUAGUUUGAAUUUUUGUUAUUUUUUUGCUGGGAUUUUGGAUUCAAAGCUCUAUAGUCAACCUCACUUCUAUUAUCAAAGAAAGAUUCAACUUCAGGAGCAUGCUAGGCCGUCAACACUUGGUUAGGCAAGCCUUAUGAUUUUUGUUAGUUUCGAGGUGAGAGGUCGUUCCCUUAGUUAAAUUUAUCCGGUGAAUGCCCCGAAGGAUUUGUAUAUAUUUUUAUCCGGGGAAUGCCCCGUAGUACUUGUAUUUGUAGGCCAAAAGUAGAGCUUGUAGUAUUUUAUUUUUAUUUUAUUUUUCUUUUAUUAGGUGGGGACGACCUCGAGCCCUUUUGUGUGUUUAUUUUUCUGUGUUUGAUUUACCUCAAUUCGAAUAUUCUGAAAGGCGCCUA